AAUGAGGAGCGGAGGACAUGUGGGAGCAGAGCAGUAGCACAAGCUCGGCACCCAAACGAUUACUCCCUCUACUCCGAGCUUGACAGUCUGUUCGUCAAGGUUGGCGUGCUUCUUUUGGAUAGGAUCGUGCAUAGGUGCAUCGAGUCGAGCAAGGGUUAGAUUAUCAAAGGCAGAUGUUUCUGUCAAGAUUCAACAUCAAGGAGCCGAAUAACUGAUGAUGGUUGAUUCGCAGAACUAAAGUCCCGGUUAGCUUUCUAGCAUGUUUCUCUGAUUCACUAUUUUUUACUUUUAGAUCCUGCAUGUGGAUUAAU
Panicum hallii is the source of this 311-nucleotide long non-coding RNA. RefSeq lists it as uncharacterized. The record is from RefSeq and is a predicted model, not a curated record. The transcript is spliced from 3 exons. NCBI's taxonomy places the organism in Eukaryota, Viridiplantae, Streptophyta, Magnoliopsida, Poales, Poaceae.